UUGCUCUGUCACCCAGGCUGGUAGUGCAGUGGCAUGAUCUCUGCAACCUCUACCUCCCAGGUUCAAGCAAUUCUUGUGCCGCAGCCUCCCAAGUAACUGGGACUACAGGUGCACGCUACCACACCUGGCUGAUUUUUUAUGUUUUAGUAGAGACAGGGUUUCAACCAUGUUGCCCAGGUUGGUCUCAAACUCCUGAGCUCAGGCAAUCCACCCGCCUUGGCCUCCCAAAGUGCUAGGAUUACAGGUGUGAGCCACCACACCCAGCUAUUUUUUCUUUCGUUUU
Molecule: long non-coding RNA, 283 nt
Filed under: Homo sapiens (human)
Lineage: Eukaryota; Metazoa; Chordata; Mammalia; Primates; Hominidae
Description: lncAB588.1
Source: RNAcentral